RNAcentral lists this transfer RNA (72 nucleotides) under Stegodyphus mimosarum. RNAcentral describes it as "tRNA-Pro for anticodon AGG". It matches the Rfam family "tRNA". From Rfam's summary of the family: Transfer RNA (tRNA) molecules are approximately 80 nucleotides in length. Their secondary structure includes four short double-helical elements and three loops (D, anti-codon, and T loops). Lineage: Eukaryota; Metazoa; Arthropoda; Arachnida; Araneae; Eresidae. The record is from Rfam by way of RNAcentral.
GGCUCGGCGGUCUAGGGGUAUGAUUCUCGCUUAGGGUGCGAGAGGUCCCGGGUUCAAAUCCCGGCCGAGCCC